GUGUCGUGAUGAAACCCAUGCGUGUCAGCUGACUCUGCAGCUUCCUGCAGAGCCGCGGCUCCGGUCGGCGUUCUGUCGGCCUGGGCCUGCGGUUCGGCAGAGGCCCAGAGACGUGAUCAUCCUGUCUUCCUGAACGC
This is a small nucleolar RNA of Salarias fasciatus (jewelled blenny), 137 nucleotides long. Ensembl annotates it as small nucleolar RNA, C/D box 10. Lineage: Eukaryota; Metazoa; Chordata; Actinopteri; Blenniiformes; Blenniidae. The record is from Ensembl.